UGGGGAAUUUUGGACAAUGGGCGCAAGCCUGAUCCAGCCAUUCCGCGUGCAGGACGAAGGCCUUCGGGUUGUAAACUGCUUUCGUACGGAACGAAAAGCCCUUCUCUAAUACAGAGGGGUCAUGACGGUACCGUAAGAAUAAGCACCGGCUAACUACGUGCCAGCAGCCGCGGUAAUACGUAGGGUGCAAGCGUUAAUCGGAAUUACUGGGCGUAAAGCGUGCGCAGGCGGUUUUGCAAGACAGAGGUGAAAUCCCCGGGCUCAACCUGGGAACUGCCUUUGUGACUGCAUAGCUAGAGUACGGUAGAGGGGGAUGGAAUUCCGCGUGUAGCAGUGAAAUGUGUAGAUAUGCGGAGGAACACCGAUGGCGAAGGCAGCCUCCUGGGCCAGUACUGACGCUCAUGCACGAAAGCGUGGGGAGCAAACA
RNAcentral lists this ribosomal RNA (427 nucleotides) under uncultured bacterium. RNAcentral's name for it is "bacterial SSU rRNA". It matches the Rfam family "Bacterial small subunit ribosomal RNA", at positions 355 to 774 of the family's 1533-position model. The record is from RNAcentral.